CACCAAACACGUAUAUGAAAACUUUUUUCUACAUCGGUAAAUGUGUCUCUUCAUCUUUCAAUGGCUUGCUUUCAUUGUGCUCUCACAAGAAAAAUAUAAGGAUUGUGAAAGUCAAAUUUGUUCUAUAUGCUGAAAAUUACCUCUUCAUGAUGAAAAACAUCAACACUUCUUCUAUAAAAGAAUGACAUUUUUGGUGAUGAGUUGGUGCACUGUUGGAAGACAUGAGGAGCUCUUAACGUGGAAUCAAACGCAAAGCUCUCUGAUAAGCAUGUAUUAAGGUUGUGGCUGCAUUGAUUCAAGGAGGCCAGCAAACCUGAUUAUUAAUUCACCUAAUCCCCCAGAAAAGAGGGAGUAACAAUUUCUCAACCACACUUAUUGAAGACUUUCUGAAGCUUCUCUGCUUUCCAGAAUGCAAUUGCUGGUGCUGAGGGUUCAUAGUAAUAAUUGGUUGAUGCAUUGACUUGGUUUGAUGAACGAAAUACACAGACAUUUUGUGUCAUAGAUUUUUGAAAUCAUUACAGCUUCAUGAAAGCGAUAUUUUUUAGAUGCUGUAUAAAGAUGUCCAAAAUUUCUAGGUUGUUUUCUUAUGUAAACUAUAAGGACAUGCCAUCUUAUGCUUCACGUUUUCCUUCAUUAUGUAGGAGUUUGUCUUCCAAAAAAAUUGUACUAUUUUGUGAUAUAUUUUAGAUUUUUUAGUAUGCCAUGGUUUUAUCUCAGUUAUAGAUCA
Molecule: long non-coding RNA, 727 nt
Organism: Capsicum annuum
Lineage: Eukaryota; Viridiplantae; Streptophyta; Magnoliopsida; Solanales; Solanaceae
Exons: 5
Source: RefSeq, a predicted model, not a curated record